UAAUGUAAAUAGAAAAAAGAAGCCCCGCCAGAACAGGGCUUCCCGCGCAAGCCGCUUCAAAGGCGGUGGCAUUAACAUUAGACUAGAUA
This 89-nucleotide small RNA is filed under the name Lentilactobacillus buchneri. RNAcentral describes it as "RNA anti-toxin A". It matches the Rfam family "RNA anti-toxin A". The record is from RNAcentral. Lineage: Bacteria; Bacillati; Bacillota; Bacilli; Lactobacillales; Lactobacillaceae. RNAcentral also lists the same sequence under 1 other name.